This 301-nucleotide ribosomal RNA is filed under the name uncultured bacterium. Its description in RNAcentral is "partial 16S ribosomal RNA". It matches the Rfam family "Bacterial small subunit ribosomal RNA", at positions 510 to 808 of the family's 1533-position model. The record is from RNAcentral.
AGUAGCCGCGGUAAUACGAAGGGUGCAAGCGUUACUCGGAAUUACUGGGCGUAAAGCGUGCGUAGGUGGUUGUUUAAGUCUGCUGUGAAAGCCCUGGGCUCAACCUGGGAAUUGCAGUGGAUACUGGGCAACUAGAGUAAGGUAGAGGAUAGUGGAAUUUCCGGUGUAGCAGUGAAAUGCGUAGAGAUCGGAAGGAACAUCUGUGGCGAAGGCAGCCACCUGGGCCUGUACUGACACUGAGACACGAAAGCGUGGGGAUCAAACAGGAUUAGAUACCCGCGUAGUCCCUGUCUCUUAUACA